RNAcentral lists this ribosomal RNA (253 nucleotides) under uncultured bacterium. RNAcentral's name for it is "partial 16S ribosomal RNA". It matches the Rfam family "Bacterial small subunit ribosomal RNA", at positions 524 to 776 of the family's 1533-position model. The record is from RNAcentral.
GACAGCGGAGGCAAGCGUUAGCCGGUAAUAUUGGGCGUAAAGCGUCCGUAGUUGGGUUGGCAAGCCUGGGAUUAAAGCCCGGAGCCUAACUCCGGAUCGGCUCUGGAAACUGCCAGACUAGAGUAAGGUAGGGGUUGCCGGAAUUCCCGGUGUAGCGGUGAAAUGCGUAGAUAUCGGGAAGAACACCAGUGGCGAAAGCGCGCAACUGGGACCUUACUGACACUGAGGGACGAAAGCUACUGGAGCGAAGGGG